AAAUUGAAGAGUUUGAUCAUGGCUCAGAUUGAACGCUGGCGGCAGGCCUAACACAUGCAAGUCGAGCGGUAGCACAGAGAGCUUGCGCUCGGGUGACGAGCGGCGGACGGGUGAGUAAUGUCUGGGAA
This 128-nucleotide ribosomal RNA is filed under the name Acinetobacter baumannii. RNAcentral describes it as "partial 16S ribosomal RNA". It matches the Rfam family "Bacterial small subunit ribosomal RNA", at positions 1 to 123 of the family's 1533-position model. The record is from RNAcentral. Lineage: Bacteria; Pseudomonadati; Pseudomonadota; Gammaproteobacteria; Moraxellales; Moraxellaceae.